RNAcentral lists this ribosomal RNA (506 nucleotides) under uncultured bacterium. RNAcentral describes it as "partial 16S ribosomal RNA". It matches the Rfam family "Bacterial small subunit ribosomal RNA", at positions 28 to 523 of the family's 1533-position model. The record is from RNAcentral.
GAUGAACGCUAGCUACAGGCUUAACACAUGCAAGUCGAGGGGUAACAAGAGAAAAGCUUGCUUUUCUUGUUGACGACCGGCGCACGGGUGAGUAACGCGUAUCCAACCUGCCUAUAACUAGGGAAUAACCUUGCGAAAGUAAGACUAAUACCCUAUGAUUUCCUUUGAUGACAUCAGAUUAGGAAUAAAGAUUUAUCGGUUAUAGAUGGGGAUGCGUAUGAUUAGCUUGUUGGCGGGGUAACGGCCCACCAAGGCAACGAUCAGUAGGGGUUCUGGGAGGAAGGUGCCCCACAUUGGCACUGAGACACGGUCCAAACUCCUACGGGAGGCAGCAGUGAGGAAUAUUGGUGGAUGGGCGGAAGCCUGAACCAGCCAAGGAGCGUGCAGGAUGACGGCCCUAUGGGUUGUAAACUGCUUUUAUACAGGAAUAAAGUUAGCCACGUGUGGUUAUUUGUAGGUACUGUAUGAAUAAUGACCGGCUAAUUCCGUGCCAUCCGCCGCAGUAA